UACGGGGGGGGCAAGCGUUGUUCGGAAUUACUGGGCGUAAAGGGCUCGUAGGCGGCCAACUAAGUCGGAUGUGAAAUCCCCAGGCUCAACCUGGGAACUGCAUCCGAUACUGGAUGGCUUGAAUCCGGGAGAGGGAUGCAGAAUUCCAGGUGUAGCGGUAAAAUGCGUAGAUAUCCGGAGGAACACCGAUGGCGAAGGCAGAUCUCUGGGCCGUAACUGACGCUGAGGAGCGAAAGCGUGGGGAGCGAACAGG
RNAcentral lists this ribosomal RNA (253 nucleotides) under uncultured bacterium. RNAcentral describes it as "partial 16S ribosomal RNA". It matches the Rfam family "Bacterial small subunit ribosomal RNA", at positions 524 to 776 of the family's 1533-position model. The record is from RNAcentral.